CACUGGCAGGCAGAAGAACAGCAGCAUGAAGUCCCAGAACGCCAGGCUGGCCAGCGCGCAGUUCCACGUGCUCUUCAGACACUGAAGUGUUGCGACGGUCCAACAGGACUCAGACAGAACAUGAUAACCCUGAGACCCGAGAGCUGCGAGUGUGUGUGUGUCAUUGUGUUUGUCAGCAUCGAGUCGAAUGCUAUUGUCAAAUCCAGCACUUUCAUUCUUGUGUUCAGUAACCGGCUCCACCGGACGCACCGGUUCCCGCGGUUUCUUUACAUAAGAUCAGGUUUCCCAGCAAGCACAUUUCUGAGAUUGGUGAGAUUUUGGAGCCGGUUUUGAUCAAUGCCACGCUCCGUUUACUGCAGGAUCUAGUUAAACCAGUCUGUGCCACGAGCGGGAAGAAGCUAAAGUAGACCUGAUGCAGGUUUAUCUGCUCAUCCAGAUCAGCCCGUGAACGUGAACUCAAGGUUGUGUAAACAAGUCAAAAACCACAUACCACCAGAACUGGUUUGGGAAAUAAACUCAUUUCAGCCGAAUAUGCAGAAUAUGUGUGUUUGAGACGAUGCGCGUGUGUGUUCAUCGUGUGUCACG
This is a long non-coding RNA of Sinocyclocheilus anshuiensis, 585 nucleotides long. RefSeq lists it as uncharacterized. The record is from RefSeq and is a predicted model, not a curated record. Lineage: Eukaryota; Metazoa; Chordata; Actinopteri; Cypriniformes; Cyprinidae. The transcript has 3 exons.